CUAUUACUUCAAAAAGGUGUCAACAGAGACCAUUCAAUCUUCAUUAAAAGAUACAUGUACCAAAAGGCAAAAGAGAGGACAAAAUAAUUUCUAGUCAUAAGCAUCAACUGCCAUCAACAACAACAUAAAAAAACAAAUAAUUUACAGAACAAUGGCUAAUGAUAUUUCCAAGGUUUCAUUUUCUUUGCAUAAUUCUAACAGGACUUGUUUCAUACAACCUGGAGAGAAAGGCAUUACAAGACCACUAACCUAUUGCAGUUCAAAAAAGAAAAAAAGACCACUAACCUAUUUAUUUUUGUCAAGUAUAAGCAACGGAGACAAGGUGAGGGACUUUUUCAUCAUCAAAGGGCAAGCUGAUAUACUCUCUAGCAAACUCCUCAACAAUUUCCAAAGCAAGCUCCCCAUGUACAGCCUUGCAA
RNAcentral lists this unclassified non-coding RNA (419 nucleotides) under Hevea brasiliensis (rubber tree). Lineage: Eukaryota; Viridiplantae; Streptophyta; Magnoliopsida; Malpighiales; Euphorbiaceae. The record is from RNAcentral.